Molecule: ribosomal RNA, 497 nt
Filed under: uncultured bacterium
Lineage: Bacteria
Description: partial 16S ribosomal RNA
Rfam family: Bacterial small subunit ribosomal RNA
Source: RNAcentral
GAUGAACGCUGGCGGCGUGCCUAAUACAUGCAAGUCGAGCGAACAGACGAGGAGCUUGCUCCUCUGACGUUAGCGGCGGACGGGUGAGUAACACGUGGAUAACCUACCUAUAAGACUGGGAUAACUUCGGGAAACCGGAGCUAAUACCGGAUAAUAUAUUGAACCGCAUGGUUCAAUAGUGAAAGACGGUUUUGCUGUCACUUAUAGAUGGAUCCGCGCCGCAUUAGCUAGUUGGUAAGGUAACGGCUUACCAAGGCAACGAUGCGUAGCCGACCUGAGAGGGUGAUCGGCCACACCGGAACUGAGACAAGGUCCAGACUCCUACGGGAGGCAGCAGUAGGGAAUCUUCCGCAAUGGGCGAAAGCUUGACGGAGCAACGCCGCGUGAGUGAUGAAGGUCUUCGGAUCGUAAAACUCUGUUAUUAGGGAAGAACAAAUGUGUAAGUAACUAUGCACGUCUUGACGGUACCUAAUCAGAAAGCCACGGCUAACUACGUG